GCUCUCCUGGCCCAGUUGGUUAGUGCGUCGUACUUAUCAGCAGUACUUGAGUGUAUGCGAAGGUCGAGGGUUCGAUCCCCUCCGAGAGCA
This 90-nucleotide transfer RNA is filed under the name Paramuricea clavata. It matches the Rfam family "tRNA". Rfam says of the family: Transfer RNA (tRNA) molecules are approximately 80 nucleotides in length. Their secondary structure includes four short double-helical elements and three loops (D, anti-codon, and T loops). Lineage: Eukaryota; Metazoa; Cnidaria; Anthozoa; Malacalcyonacea; Plexauridae. The record is from Rfam by way of RNAcentral.